CUUAUCUUUCUCUGUACAGCUCUUUGGUUCCAGUCGUGCUGUUGAAAGUGCUUUAUAAAUAAAGUUUGAGUUGGGUUGUGUUGUGCUGCUU
Molecule: long non-coding RNA, 91 nt
Organism: Sinocyclocheilus grahami
Lineage: Eukaryota; Metazoa; Chordata; Actinopteri; Cypriniformes; Cyprinidae
Exons: 3
Source: RefSeq, a predicted model, not a curated record